This 31-nucleotide transfer RNA is filed under the name Gouania mauritiana. RNAcentral describes it as "partial transfer RNA-Phe". Lineage: Eukaryota; Viridiplantae; Streptophyta; Magnoliopsida; Rosales; Rhamnaceae. The record is from RNAcentral.
CGGGAUAGCUCAGCUGGUAGAGCAGGGACUG